RNAcentral lists this ribosomal RNA (497 nucleotides) under uncultured bacterium. RNAcentral describes it as "partial 16S ribosomal RNA". It matches the Rfam family "Bacterial small subunit ribosomal RNA", at positions 28 to 507 of the family's 1533-position model. The record is from RNAcentral.
GACGAACGCUGGCGGCGUGCCUAAUACAUGCAAGUAGAACGCUGAAGAGAGGAGCUUGCUCUUCUUGGAUGAGUUGCGAACGGGUGAGUAACGCGUAGGUAACCUGCCUUGUAGCGGGGGAUAACUAUUGGAAACGAUAGCUAAUACCGCAUAACAAUGGAUGACACAUGUCAUUUAUUUGAAAGGGGCAAUUGCUCCACUACAAGAUGGACCUGCGUUGUAUUAGCUAGUAGGUGAGGUAAUGGCUCACCUAGGCGACGAUACAUAGCCGACCUGAGAGGGUGAUCGGCCACACUGGGACUGAGACACGGCCCAGACUCCUACGGGAGGCAGCAGGAGGGAAUCUUCGGCAAUGGGGGCAACCCUGACCGAGCAACGCCGCGGGAGUGAAGAAGGUUUUCGGAUCGUAAAGCUCGGUUGUAAGUCAAGAACGGGUGUGAGAGUGGAAAGUUCACACUGUGACGGUAGCUUACCAGAAAGGGACGGCUAACUACGUG